GAACUCUGGCUUGGCAGCAUGUCCUGGGAGUGUGGAGGUGUGCGAGUUGCUCUCAAAUGCCUGCAGUUUCCUUGCUGACCUCCUAAGAGCCAAAAGGGGAAGAGACAUGAGCCCCUGAGAGGAAGUGGAGCUGUGCUGGGCAGAGAGGACGCGCAAGCAUCAGAAGGCAUUCUUGCCAGAGCGUGGACGUUAGCCAGUUAAUCCCACUAGAACAUGUGUUGCCACACCUCCGCACGGCGGGUGCAUUUUGCCCGUGUAGACUGACUUACGGAUCUGCUGCCCAUCUCCCUGCUGGACUCUAAGCCUCUCAAGGCUGUUCCAUUCCUCAGCCGGCCUGCAUGGGAGGUGGUCGUAAACGUGUGUUGAAAGAGUACAGAUAGCUCCUUUCCGCGUGCAUUUUAGCUACUGAGGCUGUUGCAGGAGGAAACCCAGUGAAUGGCAUUGAGAGAUGGUUGCCACCGUGUCAUCUGCACCCCUAGUCUGGACGAGGCCAGAGCAGGCACUUCUCCGUCUCAGGGCCUGGAGGAGCCGGGCGCACUGCAUCUCGUUUGCCGCCAUGGUGCCUUCGCUCUGCCCCAGGAACUGACGCUGUUGCCCGUCCAUUUCAUUUGCUUGAGAACUUAGAUCCAGACUGUGGCCCCAUCGGGGCCCACGCGGGGCUUGAGCGUGUGCCGGAUGUUGCAGGGCGGCCCCUUCAGCCUUCCUUGUGCUUCCAUCUAAUCGCAGCGCUCUCCGGGAAAAAAUUGUAUUAUCCCGUUGUGCUUCAAAGCAGCGUCUAAGUGUUUCUUUUUAAGGAGCGUGUGUUCCUGUGUCUUACUGGGGUGGAGAGCAGGGGAACAGACAGGUGGGUCCAGCCUGGCGGGGCCAGAUGCUCCCCGGGGCACUCUGUGCCCAGGCUGGUGACAGCGGGUGGGCGUGUGGCUGCCCGGCCCACAGUGGGGGAGGCGGGGCAGCCCCUCCCUCUGGCUGCACAGAGCCCAGCGCUUUGUCUUUCAGGAGCGUGAG
This is a long non-coding RNA of Bos taurus (domestic cattle), 1005 nucleotides long. Lineage: Eukaryota; Metazoa; Chordata; Mammalia; Artiodactyla; Bovidae. The record is from Ensembl.